This 1379-nucleotide long non-coding RNA is filed under the name Homo sapiens (human). RNAcentral describes it as "HSALNT0406294". The record is from RNAcentral. Lineage: Eukaryota; Metazoa; Chordata; Mammalia; Primates; Hominidae.
CUCCCUCCCAGGGCUUCCUCCCCCAGGAGGGAUAGCAGGAAGGCAGGCAAGGACAGGACCUGAGUCCACACCUCGUCCGCGGUCACCUGCCUGACCAGGAGGAAGGGGAGGGGACAGGAGUGAUUCCACGGAGGUCACCUGGGAGCUGGGGCUGGGCGACCCCAGGGCUGGAUGACCUCAGGGCUGGGUGACCUCAGGGCUGGGUGAUCUCAGGGCUGGGUGACUUCAAGGCUGGGUGACCUCAGGGCUGGAUGACCUCAGGGCUGGGUGACCCCAGGGCUGACUAUUGGCGGAGCACCUGGGGUGGGUGCCAUGGGCACCUGAGAGGGAACUUUGACCUGAGCGGAGGUCAGAACCCUCCUCUGAGGAAGUGCCCCACCCCACUGAGCUCCCAGAGGCUGGUGGCAGGUUGAACAGGGGACUAUGCCAGCAGAGGGACUGCCUUCCAGAGACUUUGGAUCAUCACCACGAUGGGUUGAUUUUACAAAUUUAGCCACUGUCACCGGAGGCCUGGCUGAACUUCAGAGUUUCUUCUCCAGCGUCGGUUUCUUGAUUGCCUAAAGUUCCUUCCAGUCUAAUACUCUGGGAUUCUGGGCCAGUUUCUGGUCUGUCACAGCUGAAUAAGAGUGCAAGGGCAGGAGUGGAAUGUUCAGACUGCUCCAAGAGGACCUUGGCCCAGGUGAGGCAGCAGGCCGGCACCCUGCCCACAACCACAUAGAGGGCCCAGGCUUGUCUGACGCCUCAGGCUGUGCUCUCUCCAGCUCACUGCGGUGCCUCUCCCAGAUUCGGGCACACUCUGGUGUAACCUGCUUCGCUCGUUCGCGGGAUGGGUGGUGAGCAUGGAGCCCAUUUUCCCAUGUGGCAUUUCAGCAACAGGACUUGGCUAUUUGAAACUCCCCAGACAUAGCAGGAUUUAAAAAACGGAUCCCCUCUGGCUGGGCAUUUAGGUUGCUUUCACUUCUGGGCUGCUAUAAACAGCCUGCAGUUACUGCCUCAGGACGCCUUUCUGGAAGGUGAGUUUCUUGGCCAGGGGAUAUCGCACAUGCACUUUGGAGCCUCUGAGCCUUUGCACAGGCUGGUCCCUUUGCCUGGCUGCCCCUCUCCCAUUUAUCCCUAGAUUCUUCUGCAGCACACACACUGCCUCCUCUGAAGUGUCCUGGCUGCAUGUGCUGCUCUCCUUGCCCUGGGCUGCCCUCUUCUCCCUGGUGUCAUGAGUAUCUGCUGACCUUCUGCUUCUCCCAUGACAGAGUGCCUUCCUUCUCUUCCUUCUCUGCCUUGGCCUCCAGCACGUAGUAGGCGCCUAGGAAAUGUUUUCCAGCAGAACGAGCCAUCUCCUGGCUGGUUUAGCAGUGUGGGAUUGUGUGGUGUUUCUAUUAGUC